This 405-nucleotide ribosomal RNA is filed under the name Triticum aestivum (bread wheat). RNAcentral's name for it is "partial small subunit ribosomal RNA". Lineage: Eukaryota; Viridiplantae; Streptophyta; Magnoliopsida; Poales; Poaceae. The record is from RNAcentral.
AUGGUCCUCACCAACAUGUCCUACUACGGCAUCCCGCUGGUGUCCGUCAUGUUCUCCGGCCACCUCGGCGACGCCCAACUCGCCGGCGCCACGCUCGGCAACUCCUGGGCCACCGUCACCGGCUACGCCUUCGUGUUGCACAGUGAGGAUGCAAACGAUGUGGAUCACACGGUGAUACAAAGGCAUUUUGUAGCCUUUUUUUUUGCAACUAGAGACAAAUUGGUUGGUGAAGGAGAGGUGCCUGGCAGUGAAACAAAGGGUUCUCCAAAUAGGACCUUUCGGCGGGACUCAAAACGGGGUGCUAAGCAGGAACCAUGUGUCACUGAUAAUGACGGGGAUGGAGAGGAUGAUGACGUGUCCCAGAGAGUAUCUAAAGCAUAUGAAAAAGAACUUGGGCCAGCGUGA